Molecule: long non-coding RNA, 448 nt
Organism: Felis catus (domestic cat)
Lineage: Eukaryota; Metazoa; Chordata; Mammalia; Carnivora; Felidae
Exons: 4
Source: RefSeq, a predicted model, not a curated record
GAAGUCGGACGCCCAACCCACUGAGCCACCCAGGCACCCCAGUCUCAAAAGGGAAAACAAAACUGCCCAAUGGAGAGACCAGACUGUCAUCACUCUAACCCAAGGAUCAAGUUGAGCAACCCUGAUGGUACUAAUGGUAGGUACUAGAGAUGUUGUGAUCGAAAAUCUAAAUCCCAUCCUCAAAUUUAAUGAAGGAGACAGAGAAAUAAGCAGCUUAUGCCACAGUAUGAAAGUGUACUUGUAGAGCAUAAAGAACAUGUGGAAGAGAAACAGUUUUUUGAUGUCAGUUCAAAGAAUAGCAUUUGGAUUUUCCCCCAGGAUUCAGAUGGUGAAAAGGAGACAUACUCUUGGUGAGUUGAUUUCAGUUGUGGUUUAGAGAAUAAGACAAGGAGCAAAUCAGCAGAGACAAAGUAGUUACUAAGCUAGAAAAGUCUAAUGCUUACCAGGA